ACCUACACUAAGAGAGAUAAGUAGACAAUGUAUGAAAUUUGGAAGUUGAGCUGAUUCAGCAAGAUUAGGAAUGAUUUGGGAAAAGGGGAUGGGCCUAGUCUGUGUUCUUUUUGGACGGUAAGUCAGGCCACUGUCAGGCAGAGCUAUGCCCAACUCUGAGGAGGCCUUUUCCAGCAAAUGUUCUCCCCUACUUAAAACUUGGUCUGCUGGCAGUCCUGGAGACACGGCAGAAUAAGAGGAAAGGGGACUAGGGUUUUUAUCCCCAUGUGUAGGCAGAGCCAGGCAAUUAUCUUCCUGCACCAACAGAAGGAUGGGCAAGGAGAACAUGACCCCAGCCUUUAAUUUCCUCUCACCGUCAACAGAGUGACCCUUCCCCAGUGAGAAAUAUCAAAUUGCUUGGCAUUUAUGAUUUUCAUGGCUUUGACUAUCUCCACCAAAAGAAGAAGAAGAUUAAUGAGGAGGAGGAGAGUGAAGGAAAGAAAGAGGCAAAGAAAGAAAAAAAAUGUGACAGCUAGUAUUAAAAUGUGUAAGUACCUGAAAAAGUGUUUUCUACCCUAAGAAAUAGGUAUCUCUAAGUUGUAUGUGCUUGGUGCUGAGAAGACUCUUAAAGAAAAAUCUGUGCAUAGCGUGUGAGCCUCUCUGUCAGUUUGCAACCGCAGUAACCUUCCCUGUACUCGGCUAGUCUCCCUGGGAUGCCCAUGUCACAGGCUCAGGUCCCUAUUUGGGGCAGAGGAGAGAGAAAUGAUGAUUAUUUAGUGCAUUCUUGAAUUGCUAAUUUCUUGGAAGUACUAAAGCUACUCCAGAGGAUUUUAUUGUAAUGACUCCAACUCUACCUGAUCUUUAUUAGAUUUAGGAAAAAGAACACCCUCUUUCCCCCAAACAGCUUCCCAAGUAUGAGCAUUAGUUUUGUUUGCAAAGCAGUGGCUGUCCCUGCAAGCUUUGGUAGCCUCACUGGAGAACUCCCCAACUAGAACCUCGCCUGCCAGCCCUGUGGGACUUCCUUCCUUCUCCACCUCUGCUCUGGGCUCCUAUUCCCUUGUGGAUGAAUUUUCUUCCCCUGGGCACUUGCAUCCAUCCUUCACAGGUUGGCUUUAACAGCAUUUCCCACAGGAAAACUCCACAGUCCCCUGAACUAGGAUUGUGCUCCUUGACCCCGCUUCUGUGAUUUCGCUAGGACGACUCUUAAAGCAAGUGCUUUUGGUUGCCUGGUCCUGCUCUGCGAGCUUGGGGACCAUGUCUGUGGCAUCAUUCUAUUCUGGCACCUAGCACAAUAUUUACAAUGAAGAGGGGCUGGAUAAUCUUUGAUGAAAGUAAAAGGGAAGGCAGAGAGGGAGGGAAGGCAGGAAGAAGGCAGGAAAAUGAAGAGAAUAGAGGAGAAAGGCAGAAAUGGAGGUCACUGCAGAGACAUUCCCAGCCUGUCAUACCCUUAGACUCCUCCCCUCCCCUUCUCUUUUUCUGUCUCCUCAUUCUUUUCUUCACAAAAACUCCAGGAUUAAAAUAAAAUUGAAAUCAUCCCUGCUUCAGUGUGUACCCCAACCUGAUCUACAUUUGGGGAUUUUUUUUCCUUUUUAUUUUUGUUAUUCUACACCUUGCCUCUGAGAAUUCAAACACAUUUCAAGGCUAAUUUACUUAGCAAGCAUGAAUACCAAGUCUCUAUCACACACACCCCAAUAAGAGAAUGACAAUAUAUGUUUUAUUAAGUGUAAUAUUUUAUUUAAGAUUUGAAAAUCUUACAAAAGUUUCCUGAAACCAUCAAAUAAUUCUUCAUGACAGUGACAUUGCAAGACUAAUGAAAUGAAGGUAGUAGAAAUAAUAUUAUUUGAAGGUGUAGGAAGAUGAGGCACAGGUUGGAGAAAAUCUAGAGAAAAUGUGGUAUUUGGGUAGUGGAAUGUUUUAUUUGUGUUUUUGUUUCAUUAGCAACUAAUGCUUGAAGUUUCUCUUUAUUUAAUAAAACAUAUGUGAAAAAAUAAAAUAGAUGUGUAUUCUAUUUAAUAGAAAGGCUUAUUCUCCUCCCCAAAGAAUGUAGAAAUUGGAACAAAUGUAUACCAGACAUUUCCCAUGGGAUUUAAAGAAAAAAAAAAAAACAACCCAAGUGGUGUAAUGCAGUAAGAGAGGGAUGUUGCACUGCAUGUGAGUAAGAUGAGAUAAAAAUCUCUCAAAGAAACUUUCCAUUGCUUUCAAUGCAUUUCCCUUUUUUGUGCAGAGAAAUCAAGGGGAUAAAAAUAUAAGAUAGAGCAUAAUACAGUAGCAUUAUGGAAGAGAAUAAUACAUGUUCACUUGGAUUACUGUCUUCAUCUUUCACUUCCUCACCUUAAGAAAUGUGGUGCAGGGAUGGCUGAAUUCCAGAGCAGAGCAAGAAGGGGAGUGCAGGUUCACUUGUGACAGGAGAUUUCGAAAGUUAGAAUUACUAAGUCUGGGCUGGAAAAUAAGAGAGAUUUACUCCGGCAUUAAAGAUAUGUAACUCGGCAGUAAAACUGAUAGAUCCCUAGUACAUUGUCCCAUAAGAGACUGGGCCACUUGGAGAAGUUAAUGCUAAGGAAAUUUAAAGCAAGUUACAGGAAAUACUUCUUCACUUGGUAGAAUUCAUGCUGAGGAAUUUGCUGCCACGGGCAGCCAUGAAAUCAAUCACUGAGUUGGAUUUUUCCAAGGGGCAGGAUAAUGUAUGUAUGGCCUGUUCUUCUGGCUAGUUGGGAAGGACAGCAGCAGUCAAUUCGCUUGCUUCUAGAAGAUCACAGUUGAUUACAAGUGGGGUCAGCAAAAGGAUGUCCCCCACACUUGAUCAGGAUAAUUAAAAAGUGUUUGUCCAUGCUCACAGGUCCUUGAACGAGAGUGGAGACAGGAUAGGAUCAAAUGGCCUGAUCCAAUAUGACAAAUGUUUUUUGACAGGAACAAAAAUUUAAGCAACACAGACACAAAGAAAUCAAUUCCAGGAAGUAAUUAAAGAUGUUCCUAAAACAUUUUUUUCAUAGAAGCACAUUUUUUUUCCUGGGAAUAUAAACAUUACACACUGUUUUUGGUUUUUAAUCUGAUUCUCCAACAAGUACUCUUAAGGUACCUCUGCCAAACCUGAAAACAGCUAAGGUGCAUGACUUUCUUUAUCCCAAGGGAGAUGAGAACGUAAUUGAAAAGUUCUGAGUAGACUGCAAAUGUUAGCAAGGCGGUGUUAAUUUUGAGGUUGUCAUGUUCAAUGUCAGUAAUAAGGUCCUUUGAUAAAGUCAUCACAGUUUAAAUCCAGCUUUUUAUUCUUUUUGUGAUUUAGCUAAUAUCUUCCCCUACCUCUUUAACUUUUGUUUUUCUCAUUUGAAAAUAUGAUGUAGUCUCCAGGACUUCACUUUGUUAAACUGUAGAUGCAUGAAAGGCAAUACUGAAACUUUGGCAUUCUAAUUUAUGAACUACUGAGAGACCAGAAAGGCAUGUCGGGUAUGGCUGGAGUCUGCAUUUUCAUUUGGGGACAAAAGCACAUCACAUAGUCUACUAAAAUGAGAAAUUUUGCUUUAAAAAAAAUUACAAAAUAAAAUACAAUCCUGAAUAAGACACAGUAAACCCUAGUCUUUGAAUUUCAGUAACAUGUAGCCAUGCUGAAAAGGCAAAGAAAAUGCUUCUUUGUCACCUCUUGAGAACCAGGAAAUGUUACUGACUUUAACAGACAAUGACCUAAUUUCAUUACCUAUGUUAAAGAGAAAGCACAAGUAAAGAUAAAAGGACUCUGAAAGUUCUUCUAUGAUAAACCACCAUAACUUUUUAUAGUUGUUAUGAUUUAGCACUUAAAGACAUAUUUAUUUUUAUAAGCAUGCUUUAUUUGAACAUUGUCCUGACCACCACCGACCCUCAAAAAAGAUGAGAGUUGACAUCUCUAUGCUGGUAUCACGGGACUGUUCUAUAGUUGCCAUGGCACUGUGUUGGAAGCUGUACAUACAAGGCAUUCUUGAAUAAGCUCAUAGGACAUCUAACUCCAAGCCUUCUUUGUGGAGGCAGCAGUCUCUGGAGCCAGACCACCUGGGAUCCAGUCCUGGCUCUGCCUCUCAUCAGCGAGGUUUCCCUGGGGAAAUCAUUUAACUGCCUUUGCCUCAGUGUCCUCACCUAUAAAAUGGGAAGAGCAAUAUUGCCUCCAUCAUAAGAUUGUGCUCUGCAAUAUUUCUGUGUCAUCAGCUCCCAUAUAGAAAAGAGUUAACUACUAUAAAACAAGAACAAAAAUAGUACCUGGCAUCAAAAGAGGUGUGGCCCAAAGGACUUGAAUAUAAGUAAAUUUUAAUAAAUCUAAUAAAUAGCAUUAUAUUCCUAACUGUGCUCAUAUCCAAGGAGUAUGUUCAAACUGGAUGAUAUAAGGUAAAUUGUAUGUAUUCAUACUUUGGGGGGUUUUUGUUUGUUUGUUUGUUUGUUUGCUUUUGCCAACAGACCAGAAGACCCAUUUAAGGAAAAUAUCAAAUGGAUGAGAAUAAAAAUAAUGGUGUGUUGGUAGCCAAGGAGCAAGUCAAAUAGGAAGGAUAUUUUGCUCAUUUUAUCCAGGCUUACUUCAAUUUUAUUGAUGCCCAGUUUAGAGAAUGCAGCAUCUCAUCUCUGUAUUGAAAUCAAGUUCCUCUCACCUUUCAAGAGCCCAAGAACCACUUCAUCGUCAGCAACGUAGAAAGCCACAAAUCAAUUAAACUUACCUUGCAUUUAUGAGUACCCAUGAAUUGCACUUACAAUGGUUUUACAAAAAGGGGUGGCAGUGCAGGAAUCUCAACAAAGGCACGCAAGUCAGUUGCCUCCCAGUGCCCUACUGAGCCACCGUGCCCAGCCCAAGGAAGUAAAAAUUUUGAAGACAGUUAUGAAAUGGAAAAUUGAGGCAAUUCAUGGGGGGAGGAAAUACAUGUAUCUUCACAUUCCCCACCCUUCAAUCCACCUAUUCACCUCCCAAAAAGAAUAUAUUCUUAAAACGAAAAAAUAUAUAUAUUUGCAUAUAACCUUCCCAUGGACUUGAUCAAAAUGAAAAACUUUGUGAUGUUUCUUUUAUUAGCAGAAACUCUGUGGUCAGGUGGCCUUGGUUCAAACCUUGCCUCUGCCACUUACUGACUGUGCAUGACUAUGAGCAUGUGACUUCACCCUCUCUGUACCUCAAUGUUCACAUGCAUAAAAUGGAAAUAAUACAACUAAUUGUGUCAUAUGCCAUUUUAAGAGUCAAAUUAAAUUAAAAAUAAAUGAAGUAGGAACAUGUCUGGAUCACAUAGCUAAGAGUUUCUUCAGGUAACAGGUAACAACUGAUGCCAUAGGCCUCAAUAUUAGAAGUGAUAGGCUACAGAUAAACUGGGCCUCUUGGUGUCCACUAGCUUCCAACUGCUUUGCCUGGGUCUAUCUACAUGGUUAAUGUCAGGACAAAUAUGCUUUGUUUGUUAUUAUAUAUAUGCACACACACACACACAUAUACAUACUUAUAUAGGGUAUUUUCUUAAAUUCACUGAAUACGGACCUCCUUAGCUUAAAAAACUACCCUCAUGAGAAAGUUGAAAAAAGCAAAACUACAAAAGAAAAGGCAAAAGGUUAGGUCAAACAUUAUCCAUACCAAUUUAGUAGGAUAAUUAAUGGUUUUCUGUCCUUGCUACUACACAAAUCUGUUGUUACCCUCAAGGCAUAAUCUGCUUUCCUAGUUGAGGGGAAAAAAAAUAGUUUAAAAGUUUUUUAAUUCCUCAUAAAACUACUGUGAAAAGAACAUGGAAGUAGAUAAAGGACAAAGUGAGAAAAUGCUCUCCUUGCCGUUUGUCCCUCUAUUAGCACCUGUAGACAGGUGGCCAUAAAAGGACAGCUCUGUGCUCCAAUCUGAGAACAUUUUUCUGGGAUCCAUAAGGAAAAUGGGAUUUCUUAAGACAAGAAAAAUUCUCCUGUGUGUGUUUACAUCAGUAUCUUUCCGCAUCAUAACAGGGGGCAUGUUGGAGUGUUUGAAAUGCGACUACUUGUUUUGAUGUUGCAAAUUGCACUUUUGCCAUCCACCAACCUAUGUUCCUCUCCCAGGAAUAAUAUGUCAGAGGGUUGCCCAUUAUUACAGGGACACAGCACAAAAAGCACCCGGGUUCAUCUCUAAACUACAGAAAGACAAGGGUCACAUUGACUCCUGGCCCUGGAAGCAGCAGGCUGUCCCUUGGAGAGUUAUCGCUUGCCUAUCUGCUUCACACCUCUCAGCUGACCAGACUGGGCACUGGGGACCACUGGGAAACCUCUGCCUGGAUCCCUGUGGGAUGGAACAGGUCUCGGGAUGAGCUCUGCUCCACCCCAGAGAGAAGCUCCAUUUGACAAUCCAAAUGCAACGAUUUGUCUCCUGAGUCCAGCCUGGGACAGAAGCUGGUGGGCAGAAGAGCCAUCCCAGCUGCAUCUAGGCCUGGCCUAUUGCUAGCUGGCUAAGCUUAGUCAGGGCUCCUAAACCUCUCAGAGCCUGUUUCCACAGCAGCAAAACGUUGACAAUGCCAGUAUUUAUGUCUUGGUGAUGUUGUGAGGCUGUCAAGAGAUGAGGCUGUCAAGAGAUAACGCAGUGCCCAGUGAAAAUCGCAGCUGAAAAAAAGUCUAGAGAUGGAAGAUCAAAAAUGGAAGGGGUAUGGAUUCUGCCAGAACGUGGGGUGCCGCGAUGAACAGCCAGGAUAGAUGGAGCAGCGCAGUGAGGAAUGAGCCUGCCACCAAGCAGAAGCCCAGCCUUGGCUGAGGCGCCGCGCAAAGGGGGUCAGGUCAGCCCGCCCGGCAAGGGUGAGCUCAACGACGUUGGGCUCUUCACUCCUUAACGCGCUCUGGAGCCCUUUCUUUCUCGGGCGCCUGCCGGUGCUCGCCACGACGCAGAGAGGUAGGCGCACGCGGGUCUUUUCUCUGGGACGCCAAGGUGCAAAGCAAAGACCCACGGGGUUACCCGCGGAGAAAACUGGUUCCAGAUGUAUUCUUGUGGGGCCAAAUUCUCUUCUGUCUUCAGCUGAGCCUUGAAGCGAUCUAUCUCCAACCCGGCCUCAGGGCUGCCCAUCAAAGCCAGGGCCUGGCUCGCUCUCUCCUUCCAGUUAUUACCGCCCCUCAACUCCACCUUCCACCUGUCCCCCUCCACAGGAAGCUACCAGAGAUCAGGCGGCCAGGAAUCCUCCCAGACCCCAUCUCCCAGCCACACAGGAAAGGACAGAACUUUGUUUCUCAGAAAAGUAGAUGUAGGCGGCUGGGGGUGGGGGCCGGGAACUGUGCAACAAGCUCUGGGGGGAGGAGGGCGAAGAUCUUCCACACGCCCCAGUUGCUGGGCGCCUCCAAGAGCAAUGAGUCUCUGGUUCCCAAGACAACCUUAUGUCUAGCAAACCCAAAGGAAGCUGAAGAUCUCCCAGGAAAAGAUCAACUAGAGUCAUACUGGAGGGUGGUGGGUGCCAAGCCUGGCCCUCUCGCGCACCUCCCAGCCCCCAGUCUUCCGACCCACCCACCCUCCAGGGCCAGACCCCACCGUGGUUCCUCUUCCCCGACAGUUCGCUCCUUCUCCCUUAUUCUGCCCUCGGCUUGCAAUCCCAGCUCCCCUGGACGGUACUUUGGAGCCACGCUUAUUUCUACCGCGUAGUUUGCCUGACACUGGGGUCCGGUGUAGGUGCGAAUGUCCCAGCCUCCUCCUGCUGACCUGCAAGGGCCAGAUCCAGGCUGCCCGAGUCCCUGCAGUACCCUCCCUGCCCAGUGCUUUCGCCCCAGCCUCACUCUGGACACCCUCCCAGGGCCGGCGAAGCAUACUCUAGCCUCGAGCUCUUGCCUUUCCCUGGAGCUUUUUAAAACUAGUCGUGGGGACCUUAUUCGGGCCAGUAGAGUGGGAAGAUCGCCUUCCCUCUGCUACCAGCCACUUCCUUCAACCUGCUGCGCUCCUGCAGACCGCGACAGAGGCAGCGCUGAAGGCCGGACACCUUGGCUGUCCUGGGGAGUGUCUGAGUCUGCGGUUUGCUUUCUGUGCCUAGAACGCUCUGUGGAGAUGGCGAGAGGGGCCCAUGAGAGGUCCUACCCCAUCCCUUAUUCAAGUUCAGCUUCAGGUUCUAGCCAACUCGGGGUCUCCAGCAUGCCCAGAGUAUCAGCAAAGCCGGGGACAUCCAGCGCCCGAAACCAUCCCAUCCCUGUGGGGCAGCUCGUGUAACCGGCGACUGGCGACGCCAGGAGGAGCGCAGGCAACCGCUGACCACGGCACACAGCAACGUUUUUUUUUUUUUUUUUGAAACGCAUUGCUGUCCCCUUGAAAGGUGUUAUAACAGCAAUUCAAUUACAGUAAAUGGCGCGCAUCGUCCUCACAGCUGGAAAGUCGGUAACUGUGACCGACCAGAGUAAAGGAAUCCGGCUAGA
This is a non-coding RNA of Microcebus murinus (gray mouse lemur), 8298 nucleotides long. Lineage: Eukaryota; Metazoa; Chordata; Mammalia; Primates; Cheirogaleidae. The record is from RefSeq and is a predicted model, not a curated record.